Molecule: long non-coding RNA, 2438 nt
Filed under: Gallus gallus (chicken)
Lineage: Eukaryota; Metazoa; Chordata; Aves; Galliformes; Phasianidae
Source: RNAcentral
AACGAAAGACAUCGACCCAAACUCACAGCCGCUCCCCGGGCAGCACCGCGAUGGGGCCGGGCGGGGACGCGGGGCCGGGAGCAGCCCCGGAUGCACGCGGUCCCCCCAUCCAAUCACCACCGCCCCCCUCCACUAAUUUUCUUUAAUUAAAUCUCGAUGUGCGGAGCGUGUCUGGAGGACGGAAAUAGCCGCUGAAGGGAAGAGCGUGUGGGGAGGCAGAUCAGAACUGCCGGCGUGGGAACGUAGAAGCGCACGGCGGGGCCGGGGGGGAUGCAGAGCCGGCAGCGGCCCUCCCGCAGCCCCCACCCCGCUCACCCCAGGGGAUGGGGUCACUGGGGGUUCGGCUUCCCGCAGCACUGUGCUUCAUGACAUCCCAAGGUGUCCCCAAAACCCAGCAAGUCCUUUGUGCAGCCCUGCAGGGAUGUGGCAGCGGAGACAGAGAAGCUAAACCUACACGAAGUGUACAACCAGGAAACUGAAUAGCACCACUGGCAAAGACCGUCCUCUCCCCAGACAGCCGAGAGUGACGAACACCUGAGCAGACCAAUGGCUUUGGCACGGCGGGAUGGAACCAACCCGAGCGUUUGGUCUCAGCCCACAGAGCCCAUGGAGGCAGAGCUGAUGGAGACCCAAACCUCCUACAGCUCCGGGAGGUUUAUCUGGCAGUAAUCUAACGGCUGGGUCACGUGGAGCCGGGCCGCAGAUUUAUAAUCGCGUACUUGAAGAUCACAGGCUAUGGAAAUUAUUGCUGCGCUGGCUGGAAUACAUUAUGCAAAGCAAUGCGUUAUCUGGAAGCCUGCACCGCACGCACACGCGCGCACACACUUCGGUGAUCUAUCUAUCGCUCCCCAUGCAGAUGUUCUGCUGCAAAGAAGUUCUAAUUAAUAUAUUGAGAAUACGUUUCCUGCCUUGUCUGCACCGGAGAUGAGCAGGGAAACAGCACUGAGUGGGGGAAAAGCCCCCACCGUGGAAGGAGUGAUAAAGAGAAAGGCAGGGACUUCAAAGCAGUUGGAAACAAGUGGGGUGUGAACUGGGGCCCAGCUCGUGCCCUGAGCGAGUGGUGGGGCUGAUGGCAACACAGGGCCAUAGCAGCAGCUGCAGCUCCUCAGUCCUCCUGCAGUCCCCCUGUCAGGAUAACUCUUCUCUCCCUCCAUCCAUUCAGGAGUUGGACUCCAGGAUCCUUACGGGUCCCUCACCCAUGACACUCCCCCAUACAGAACAGUCAAAGACCACAACAUCUGCUCCAUGAGGUGCAGCCCAGGAGCUAUUCCUCCCUGCGAGGCUGUGGGCAUUACUGCUGGCAUCAUCUGUCCCAUCACAAAGGGACAGCUUACAUCACCCCCCCGAGUAGCUGCAGAGAACCACGAAAGGAUGGGAGAUGAGGUGAGCGAGGCACAGACCCAACAGUGGGACACAGCUGGGCACCUCCAUCCCGCCCCAUAGGGGCAGUGAGAACCAGAACCCCCCCAGUGAACAUCAUCAGUCACGGAGGGCUCAGGCUUCACACAGGGAGAAACCCAGAUCGAUAACCCAGAGCAGAAGAGAUGUGAAAUUAGCCUUGCCAGGCUGGGGAGUGCUUUUAAAUUGCAGCAGAAGUGGUUGAGAGAUAGCUUGCUCUCCACAGGAACUUCUCCCCAUCCUUGGGAUUUAAGCCUGUUAAUAGUGGAGUAUGAUGAUAUUAUCUGUUUGUAUUGCACUUUUUAUCACAGACGGCUCCCAGGGUGAUUUGCUAUCAUGCCCUCUGAGAGCUGCUGAAACAUGGGAGCUGCAGGAAGCAGCAGUGAUGUAACCACCAUCUCGGUAGCAGCAGAGCAGGAGGGAUGGAGCAGAAGCCCUUUGCCAGGUGGGAUACACUGCACUCCUCAGCUUCCUGCUGCUUCCCACAGGCUUCGGUGCUGGCAUCCAUUCUCCAGCUCCCAGCCUGGAACAGGGCAGGCUUGAAGCUCAACCCCAAGUAACCCCUCCAGAGACACUGGGUCUGCAGAACGAGUCCAGGCCACCCCAGGGAGCAUCCCAUGGCUUGCCAGGCAGCGUGGGGAGAGGAUGAGUGCAGCUGGCGUGUGCGGCUGUCCUCGCCAGGAGGACCAGCACCAGCAGUGACAACAUCUGCAGGCACCACCUGGACACCGAGCUGGGGGUGCGCUGAGCAUCACCUAGCGAUGCGCACGGGCAGGAUGAGCUUUUGCGUGCUCUCCUUCCAGCCAGGAUGGACCAUUGGCAGAACCACCUCCUUCCCUAAUUUGCUCACCUGGAGCACGUGCCCGGACCUCCAGGAGCUGUGUGGGACGAGACAGCUCUGUGCUGUGCAACAAACAUCAGCAGAGCUGCGGAGCGCUUCCACUCCCAGCUCCACCACCCCCUGAUUGACACCCUGUAAUAAAGAGAUUUACCACAUAAUUAUUGCGCAUUUGGGAUGCGGCACCAUUCUUUUUUUUUUU